UACAGAGGUCCCAAGCGUUGUUCGGAUUCAUUGGGCGUAAAGGGUGCGUAGGUGGCGUCGUAAGUCGGGUGUGAAAUCUCGGGACUUAACUCCGAAACUGCAUUCGAUACUGCGGUGCUUGAGGACUGGAGAGGAGACUGGAAUUUACGGUGUAGCAGUGAAAUGCGUAGAGAUCGUAAGGAAGACCAGUGGCGAAGGCGGGUCUCUGGACAGUUCCUGACACUGAGGCACGAAGGCCAGGGGAGCAAACGGG
RNAcentral lists this ribosomal RNA (253 nucleotides) under uncultured bacterium. RNAcentral describes it as "partial 16S ribosomal RNA". It matches the Rfam family "Bacterial small subunit ribosomal RNA", at positions 524 to 776 of the family's 1533-position model. The record is from RNAcentral.